This 334-nucleotide long non-coding RNA is filed under the name Androctonus crassicauda. Lineage: Eukaryota; Metazoa; Arthropoda; Arachnida; Scorpiones; Buthidae. The record is from RNAcentral.
AAACAGAAGAAGAACAAGUAGGAGGAGGAGGAGUAAGAGUAGGAGGAUUAAAAGAAAAAACCCCAGGACUUUCCAACUUAGCAUCCUACCCUAGAGCGAAUCCUCACUGCCAAGUAGAAAGCAGCUUGCUUCAUGGAAAUCCUACCAACCUCUGAUGUCGUCUCUGUUUCAGGUCUACAGUGCCUUUCUCCCCUCUUUAAUGCCUAUAAUGCUUCCAUUUUUUUUUAUUCCCUAAUGAAGAAUCGGCAGUGAGAUAUGCCAGGACUGCCUUUUCCCACAGGCAAUGCCAAUCUCUCGCUAAUAAAACAAAAUUAAAUUAAAAACAGAAUGUUGU